Molecule: ribosomal RNA, 291 nt
Filed under: uncultured prokaryote
Description: partial 16S ribosomal RNA
Rfam family: Bacterial small subunit ribosomal RNA
Source: RNAcentral
GUUCAGCAGCCGCGGUAAUACGGAGGGUGCGAGCGUUAAUCGGAAUUACUGGGCGUAAAGCGCAUGCAGGUGGUUUGUUAAGUCAGAUGUGAAAGCCCGGGGCUCAACCUCGGAAUUGCAUUUGAAACUGGCAGGCUAGAGUACUGUAGAGGGGGGUAGAAUUUCAGGUGUAGCGGUGAAAUGCGUAGAGAUCUGAAGGAAUACCGGUGGCGAAGGCGGCCCCCUGGACAGAUACUGACACUCAGAUGCGAAAGCGUGGGGAGCAAACAGGAUUAGAUACCCCGGUAGUCC